This 264-nucleotide ribosomal RNA is filed under the name uncultured bacterium. RNAcentral's name for it is "partial 16S ribosomal RNA". It matches the Rfam family "Bacterial small subunit ribosomal RNA", at positions 89 to 354 of the family's 1533-position model. The record is from RNAcentral.
UUCUUAGUGGCGGACGGGUGAGUAACGCGUGGGUAACCUGCCCUGUACAGGGGGAUAACACUUAGAAAUAGGUGCUAAAACUGCAUAAGCGCACAGUACCGCAUGGUACAGUGUGAAAAACUCCGGUGGUACAGGAUGGACCCGCGUCUGAUUAGCUGGUUGGAGGGGUAACGCCCACCAAGGCGACGAUCAGUAGCCGGCCUGAGAGGGUGAACGGCCACAUUGGGACUGAGACACGGCCCAAACUCCUACGGAAGGCAGCAG